Molecule: long non-coding RNA, 323 nt
Filed under: Fukomys damarensis (Damara mole-rat)
Lineage: Eukaryota; Metazoa; Chordata; Mammalia; Rodentia; Bathyergidae
Description: lncRNA (ENSFDAG00000026930.1)
Source: RNAcentral
GUCAAAUGAAGGGAUGCCAUCUAAAUGAUAAAAGAGGAUCUAGAUUCUGUAGAAAGAAUAGAUCAGCAACUGCUUUGCAGAGUUCAGUUCACUAAAGAACAUAAACUGUGGAUCAAAAUCUCUCUGAACUUUUCUAAUUCCCUGGGAACCCUCUCAAAGGUCAAGAACAGACAAAACGGAGUAUGGGCCACAACUGGUUUUGUUUCAAGAAUAAGGAGAGAGAAAGGUGAGCCAAGAAUGGAUACUAUUUUUUUUUUUUUAAGAAAAGAAAGUAAAAGAAUAUUUUCCAUCACUGGAAGCUCUUAGCUCUUUUUAUACUACUG